Molecule: ribosomal RNA, 497 nt
Filed under: uncultured bacterium
Lineage: Bacteria
Description: partial 16S ribosomal RNA
Rfam family: Bacterial small subunit ribosomal RNA
Source: RNAcentral
GAUGAACGCUGGCGGCGUGCCUAAUACAUGCAAGUCGAGCGAACGGACGAGAAGCUUGCUUCUCUGAUGUUAGCGGCGGACGGGUGAGUAACACGUGGAUAACCUACCUAUAAGACUGGGAUAACUUCGGGAAACCGGAGCUAAUACCGGAUAAUAUUUUGAACCGCAUGGUUCAAAAGUGAAAGACGGUCUUGCUGUCACUUAUAGAUGGAUCCGCGCUGCAUUAGCUAGUUGGUAAGGUAACGGCUUACCAAGGCAACGAUGCAUAGCCGACCUGAGAGGGUGAUCGGCCACACGGGAACUGAGACACGGACCAGACUACUACGGGAGGCAGCAGUAGGGAAUCUUCCGCAAUGGGCGAAAGCCUGACGGAGCAACGCCGCGUGAGUGAUGAAGGUCUUCGGAUCGUAAAACUCUGUUAUUAGGGAAGAACAUAUGUGUAAGUAACUGUGCACAUCUUGACGGUACCUAAUCAGAAAGCCACGGCUAACUACGUG